Molecule: ribosomal RNA, 372 nt
Filed under: uncultured Glomeromycotina
Lineage: Eukaryota; Fungi; Glomeromycota
Description: eukaryotic LSU rRNA
Source: RNAcentral
UUGAAAGGGAAACGAUUGAAGUCAGUCGUACCUGCGGGUAAUCAGCCUUUUGGGCAUGAUUCUGUGGAGCGUGAGGAGUUAAACGCCUUCAUGCCUGCAUAUUCGUGUACUUUGGGUGUACUUGCCUGUGUGGUUAGUUAACAUCAAUUUUGGUUAUCAUAAAAUGACUGGAGGAGUGUAGCUUCGGUUUCGAUCGAAGUGUUAUAGACUUCGGCAGAUGUGAUGAUCGGGAUUGAGGAUUGCAACGGAUACCCUUCGGGGCUACCUGUCUGAUCUCUGAUCGUUGCUCUGGUGCCGAAAGCGUGCUUACGGUUAUCAAAGUCGAUGGUCAAUAGGUUAGAACGGGUUAAAUUCGUUAAGGAUGUUGACGUA